AUUUUUACACAUUAUUCUUUCUGUGCUGUAGUUAGAGAGUCUAGUUUAAUGACCUGUGUAUGUUUUAGUGCUCCAAACUGUGUGUGUGUUUCUGACUAAAACUGGUCCAUGUGACCAUCAGAAUACAUGUUACAGCUAAUAGACCAAUCAAAUCAGUCCACAGCUUCAAAUCAUCCAAUCAGGUGUGAGUCUGGACCUGGUUUUCUACUGAACACACAAGUUCAUUAGAUCACUUGGUGUGAACAGGAACGAUGAUCAGACUCUUUGUCGCUCUUUGUGCUCUUUUUUCUCUCUUCACAGCUGUGAAAACUUCUGACAUCAAGGAGAUUGAUGUGAUAACAGUAAAGUGUAGAGAAGAUGUAACUAUGGCGUGUAGCACUAACAGUGUCACAAAGAAAGAUGUAGUUUGGUACAGACAGAUUUCAGGAACAUUACCUCAGUUUUUUGCAAAACCAUACAAGGACGAAUUGGGCUACAAAUUUGAUGAAGGAGUUAAUGAUUCUCGUUUCAGUGUUAUUGUAGAUUACAAUAAAUUUGAUCUCAAUAUAAAAAAACAAGAGAAGAUGAUGAAGGAGAAUAUUUCUGUGGUGAAAUGGACAGAACUGUACUGAAGUUCACAUCUGGAACACGUCUGCAAUUUGAAGUCCACAGCUUCAAAUCAUCAAAUCAGGUGUGAGUCUGGACCUGGUUUUGUACUGAAUACACAAGUUCAUUAGAUCACUUGGUGUGAACAGGAACGAUGAUCAGACUCUUUGUUGCUCUUUGUGCUCUUUUUUCUCUCUUCACAGCUGGUGAGUAACUUUCUGAAACUUUAAUGUAAAACAAUAAUAUUUUAUAUUUAAUUCAUUUACUGACAUUUAAUAUUAAACAUUUUUACAGUGAAAACGUCUUACAUCAAGGAGAUUGACGUGAUAACAGUAAAGCGUGGAGAAGAUGUAACUAUGAAGUGUAGCCUUAGCAGUGUCACAAAGAAAGAAGUAGUUUGGUACAGACAGAUUUCAGUAAAAUUACCUCAGUAUUUUGCAAAACCAUACACGAGCGAUUUGGGCUACAAAUUUAUUGAUGGAUUUAAUGUUGAUCGUUUCAGUUUUAUUGUAAAUGACAAUAAAUUUGAUCUCAAUAUUAAACAAACAAGAGAAGAUGAUGAAGGAGAAUAUUUCUGUGGAGAAAUGGAAGGAAGUGUAGUGAAGUUCACAUCUGGAACACGUCUGCAAUUUGAAG
Long non-coding RNA from Tachysurus fulvidraco (yellow catfish), 1221 nucleotides. RefSeq lists it as uncharacterized. NCBI's taxonomy places the organism in Eukaryota, Metazoa, Chordata, Actinopteri, Siluriformes, Bagridae. The record is from RefSeq and is a predicted model, not a curated record. The transcript is spliced from 3 exons.